AAAAAAAAUUCUAAAAAUAACUUUUCAAUAUAUAUAUAUAAUAUAAAAUCUAUCCAGACCAUCAUAUUCAUUAAAAGCCAAAAUAAAAGCGACAUGCUAGACAUCGAUCGGCAAAGGAACGAAGAACACAAAUUCUCCAUCAAUGCCAAGAUUGAAGGGAUAUGGUCGUUGGUCCAGUUAAGCUCUUAUAAAUAGUAGUAUAAUGACAUAUUAAAAAGCAAAAAAAGAGCACAACAAAGUUUUCUAGUUUAGAGGAGAGAAAAGAGGUAGCAUCGAAAGAGCUACCGGAGUUAAUGGUAGUGAGUCUGUCGGAGUUAAUGGUAAAACAAAUAAAGAAAGGAGAUGUAGAUGAUGUCUGGAUUUUUGCCAAGGAUGGAACUUUUAAGGGGGAUCGAGCCUCUCCAAAAGUUUUUGUUUUUAAUACUAGUUUUCUUAUACAUUCUUUAAAAAUAAUUUUUCAUAAUACAUAUUAGCCCCUCUUGCAAAGCUAAAUUUUAUGUCUCAUUGAAAUUCACCCCUCCAUAGUAAGUGUUCAAGUUCCGCCAUUAAUUUUUAGAUUUUAAGAUUAGGUUUAUACCAUUGACAGGAUAAGGUUUUUACAAUGACAGAUUUUUGUGGCUAAUUCAUUUAUUAUAUUUCUGUAUACUUUUCAUUUUAAACAUUAUUUUAUUCUACUACUAGUAUUAGUUAUUUCUUGACAGGCUUAUUCUACUACUAGUUAAUCACAGUUACAAAACUUCAUAUGAAAAAUAAUGCAAUGAUAAUGAAAGUUUUAACAUAAUAAAGUUAACAUUGACCACAUACCCAAAUUGAUUAGUGUAAGUUACUGUGGGAGUGGGACACAGACUGACGCUCACCCCACCUCGCCUCGCCUCUUUAUAUUGUAUCACACUAUCUGGUGUGUUUGCUCCUAUAAUUUAUUGUACUGUUAAAACUUUUUGUUGAAUUACUAUUUUCUUAUUUGGUAUGGCCAUCUUGAGUUUAAUUGUUUCAUUAGAGGGUUCUCGGAUAAAUUAGUUGAGUUGAAAUUGUUAGAACUUUUGAUAUUGGUGAAUUCCCAAUUGCAUUUAGUUUAAACUUAACAUAAAUUGUCUUGGUAAAUUUUAGUGAAAUGAAAAUCUUUCAGCUUGGAUAUUAUAAGCAUUUUAUGACGAAAUGGGUCAAAUGGAUCGAGGCAAGUUUGGAUAUUGGUAUUUUUGGCAAGUCAAGUUAGGCGGAUCGGAUUAGAACGCCAAGUGUUAGAUGUUAAUGAUUCGAACCCUAGCAGUGACAUUCAAGGUGGGCACUGGGCAGUAUGUUGGAACCCGCGAAACAGGAGUGAUAAUACGUAUGCCCACACGCUCAAGAGGCAAAUGCCCGAAACCAUGGGGAAUCAAAAUUCGAUCCCAGGUCUCCAAGCCAACAUCCCCUCAGCCAGUUCGCUCAAAAAGGGCCCUUGGCCACUUGAUCUACUAUCUAAGACCAAGUGGUUGAUUUAAGUGGAUAUUGACAACAUAAGUUACCAUUUUUUGCUAAUGUGGGGUAAUCUAAGAUGUAAUUCCGCCAAAAUGAAGCCUGUUGUUCGAUUUCUCACAUUUUGGGAACAUUGACUGAUGUAUUGCAAUUUUACAUACAUUGGCACAAAUAGUUAUAUUAUGUCAUGUUAAAUGUGAUAAGUUGAACUGUAACUCUGUUUUGGGGUGUUGUUGCAUUUUAGAAACCCCACAAUGGCAAAAAAAUUUACUUA
This is a long non-coding RNA of Erigeron canadensis, 1726 nucleotides long. RefSeq lists it as uncharacterized. The record is from RefSeq and is a predicted model, not a curated record. Lineage: Eukaryota; Viridiplantae; Streptophyta; Magnoliopsida; Asterales; Asteraceae. The transcript is spliced from 2 exons.